AGUGCUUGGUGAUUGGGAGGUAACCUGGCAUGAGUACAACCUCUGGAGUUGCUGUCUUGGUGUGUUUGAACAAAGUGUUGCUGGAGGUGUUGAGUCCAGGUGUCUGCAGGUAUAGGGGUCGUGAGCUGAUAUUUACGGAGCCGCAUCACUUUGUAAGCAUCCACAUUGCUAAAGUCAAUCAGGUCAACAAAUUCCUGAGCCUUGUAUUUUUGGUGAGCUCUCUUUCUCAUUCUGCA
RNAcentral lists this long non-coding RNA (236 nucleotides) under Dunaliella salina. RNAcentral describes it as "long non-coding RNA (DSAL_LNC000201)". The record is from RNAcentral. Lineage: Eukaryota; Viridiplantae; Chlorophyta; Chlorophyceae; Chlamydomonadales; Dunaliellaceae.